RNAcentral lists this transfer RNA (81 nucleotides) under Gemmobacter caeni. RNAcentral describes it as "tRNA-Cys". It matches the Rfam family "tRNA". Rfam says of the family: Transfer RNA (tRNA) molecules are approximately 80 nucleotides in length. Their secondary structure includes four short double-helical elements and three loops (D, anti-codon, and T loops). Lineage: Bacteria; Pseudomonadati; Pseudomonadota; Alphaproteobacteria; Rhodobacterales; Paracoccaceae. The record is from RNAcentral.
GGUGCCGGGACGGGACGGUAACGUGGCGGAUUGCAAAUCCGAUGCCUCGCAAGAGACCGAGUUCAACUCUCGGCGGCACCU